AUAAUAAAAUAUUAAAAUGAGUUUAAUUAGGUUCACAGUGGCCACGACGGAAGGUUUAGCGUCAAGUAAAAGUCAUUGUCAUUGUCAUUAACGAAAUACGAGGACACGAUGCACACUUUUUAAACACAAUAAGUUCCAAUAGAAUACGCCUUAAUAGACAGGCAGCUUACUAAUCUGAAACAACAUGAUAUAAAACUAAAAUAAAAUCGAUGUUGAAAUAAAAUAUUGUCUCAUAACGUGUUUAAAAACGCAUUAUCUGGAAAAAUAAAAUAAAUCCAGAAAAUAAUUAUAGUUUUCGAUAUUUUAAUGGAUUCCUACUGUAAGUAAAACCAAAUAUAUUAUACAACUACGACGCUCGUCUCUCAUAGUGACCGUUUGGACAAAAACAUCGUACAAUACAGUUUUUUUUUUUAUAUAUAAUACCAACAAUGGAUGGACGCAUAAAGUGCACUAAACACGAUAAAGAAAUAGUAACUACUCGAAAAUUUCAAAAGCCUUCUUUUAAAGUAAAGCAUGUGUCGAAUUUCCAGUCUAUAUAGGAAAGCCAGAUAUGAAACGUUCAAGUACUUCUUUACUAUACACACCAUCAUUCGCCGUCUCAUGAAAUCAGUUGUUGAAAAACUCCAAUACAAAUAUUUAAAACUUCAAAAUACAAAAAAAAAGUAGACCGUAAUCAAUACAAAAAAAAAAACACAAAAAAUACAAGUCAAUUGUACAUUCAAAAUAGUUUUAACAUCUAACGUUACAUAUUGUGUUACAAAAGAUUCAGAAAAUACAGAUAGUAUAUAUUGAAGUUCAUACAAAAUAAUAUAUGGCCAUAUAUAAGGUUUAACUUCCUAACAGAAACAAGAAAAGGGUUAAUGCCUACAAUAAUCGUUUGUAUUGUAUUACAUUAACAAGCGUAACAGGAACAUUGCCAUUUAAAAUUUAAUGAAAUACAACAAAACAACUACAACUAUAUUUUAAAACUUACCUGUAUCAUAGAGCGCAAUUAACUUUAAUAUAUUGUAAUUUCACUAGUGGUGUUGAAUGCUUAAAAAAAACUUAACGUACCUAAUUAAAUCGUAAUAUAAUAUAAUAACGAUUAUUACCUCAACCUGUAAGACACCCAAACAUUACUCAUUGUAAAUAUUAAUACGUUAUUUUACACGAACACAAGUACACAACUCAUAGUGACUGGUACGAUGCAAAACUAUAGAUCUUCUGAUAGCGAAGGUGUGAGAGUGCGAAAUUGUAAACGAUUUUAUGAGAUUUCCAAUAAAAUAUAUUUUCUAUAGUAAAAGAUUUUUGUAUCAUAAGUCAUAAUAGUAUUAAACUAAAUACAACAUAAUACCUAUUAUCUUUUAAAAGUAAGUUAAUACACUUUAUAGAAUAAUAAAAAAUAUAAUAUUA
Long non-coding RNA from Aphis gossypii (cotton aphid), 1392 nucleotides. RefSeq lists it as uncharacterized. The record is from RefSeq and is a predicted model, not a curated record. NCBI's taxonomy places the organism in Eukaryota, Metazoa, Arthropoda, Insecta, Hemiptera, Aphididae. The transcript has 3 exons.